RNAcentral lists this ribosomal RNA (465 nucleotides) under Vreelandella stevensii. Its description in RNAcentral is "partial 16S ribosomal RNA". It matches the Rfam family "Bacterial small subunit ribosomal RNA", at positions 338 to 795 of the family's 1533-position model. The record is from RNAcentral. Lineage: Bacteria; Pseudomonadati; Pseudomonadota; Gammaproteobacteria; Oceanospirillales; Halomonadaceae.
CCUACGGGGGGCAGCAGUGGGGAAUAUUGGACAAUGGGGGGAACCCUGAUCCAGCCAUGCCGCGUGUGUGAAGAAGGCCCUCGGGUUGUAAAGCACUUUCAGUGAGGAAGAACGCCUGGUGGUUAAUACCCAUCAGGAAAGACAUCACUCACAGAAGAAGCACCGGCUAACUCCGUGCCAGCAGCCGCGGUAAUACGGAGGGUGCGAGCGUUAAUCGGAAUUACUGGGCGUAAAGCGCGCGUAGGUGGCUUGAUAAGCCGGUUGUGAAAGCCCCGGGCUCAACCUGGGAACGGCAUCCGGAACUGUCAAGCUAGAGUGCAGGAGAGGAAGGUAGAAUUCCCGGUGUAGCGGUGAAAUGCGUAGAGAUCGGGAGGAAUACCAGUGGCGAAGGCAGCCUUCUGGACUGACACUGACACUGAGGUGCGAAAGCGUGGGUAGCAAACAGGAUUAGAUACCCUUGUAGUC